UGAGAACUGAAGCCUGCUCAUAGGCCACUGU
Molecule: non-coding RNA, 31 nt
Filed under: Mus musculus (house mouse)
Lineage: Eukaryota; Metazoa; Chordata; Mammalia; Rodentia; Muridae
Source: RNAcentral